Molecule: transfer RNA, 76 nt
Filed under: Alphaproteobacteria bacterium
Lineage: Bacteria; Pseudomonadati; Pseudomonadota; Alphaproteobacteria
Description: tRNA-Val
Rfam family: tRNA
About the family: Transfer RNA (tRNA) molecules are approximately 80 nucleotides in length.
Source: RNAcentral
GGGUGCUUAGCUCAGCUGGGAGAGCAACUCGUUUACACCGAGUAGGUCGGGGGUUCGAGCCCCUCAGCACCCACCA